UCACGUCGCCUCGUCUUCCCGCUGGCGGUGUUCCGGGUGGAGAAGUCGGCGCGGCAGGUUUCGUCCCUCGUCAGCGACAUUUAAAUCGUCCUGGCAACGUCGAGGCCGACCGCGAGCACGGACAUGAGGGUGCAGACCCUCUCCAGAGAUCAGAUCCUGCAGGCCCUGGCCGGGCGCUGCCGGGCGCUGGCGGCCGACGACAACCGCGGCUUCAGGCGGGAGUUCGAGGAGCUGGAGGAGGUCGGCAGGGAGCUGGCGGCGCGGGCCGGCGUCGCCGGGGGCAACCGGGAG
This is a long non-coding RNA of Pseudoliparis swirei, 291 nucleotides long. RefSeq lists it as uncharacterized. NCBI's taxonomy places the organism in Eukaryota, Metazoa, Chordata, Actinopteri, Perciformes, Liparidae. The transcript is spliced from 3 exons. The record is from RefSeq and is a predicted model, not a curated record.